UGCGUGUGUGCUCCAGCUGUUCUUGAACCGUCAGUCCCUUAUCAGGCUUAUCAAGUUGCUUCAGUGCUUUUUUCACUGGUCUCAUCCUUUCCUUGCAUAUGCUGAAUGUUUCUUGGUCCAAAUCAUCAUCCUCAUCUUCUCCAAUAGGGACUGGUUCACUCCCCGCUGUAAUGUGGACGGGACCUUGUGAUCUCUUCCCUUUACUUCCAGAUUUGGCUUCACCACCUUUAGGCUUCUCUUUCUUUUCUUUUGUCUUCUUUUUCUCUUUAUCACUUUCCUUUUCUUUCUUAGAGCUUGUCUGUUUCUCCUUGUUCUCUUUGUUCUCUUUCUUCUUCUGUUUCUUUUUCACUGGGCUCUUGUCCAAGCCAUCAUCCUUGACUUCACCUUCUUCUGACUGGUUGUCUGAGUGCCGAGGAGGGGAGAGUUCAUUCCCAUGCUCAUCUUUGACUUUGGGAGCCUUGUUCUCUUUCUUUACUCGUGGUUUCCUCUUCUUUAGCUUGCCCUCUUCCCCAUCUUUCAUGUUUUCUUUCUUCUCCAGAUCCUUCUUCAGCAAUUUCAGUAGAUAAUCAACUCGGGUCUGGAGCUGUUUUCCCUGAGGUUUCUUAUCUGUCUCAACAGGUAGGAUCUUAUCAGAUAACUUCAAUUCCGGAUCUGUUUUAAUUAGCUCCCAGUUUCCAUAACCGUGCUCGUAAAUCCCCAC
RNAcentral lists this long non-coding RNA (700 nucleotides) under Gallus gallus (chicken). The record is from RNAcentral. Lineage: Eukaryota; Metazoa; Chordata; Aves; Galliformes; Phasianidae.